GAGUUUGAUCCUGGCUCAGGACGAACGCUGGCGGCGUGCCUAAUACAUGCAAGUCGAGCGAAUCUUUGGGAGCUUGCUCCCAUUGGUUAGCGGCGGACGGGUGAGUAACACGUGGGCAACCUGCCUGUAAGACUGGGAUAACUUCGGGAAACCGGAGCUAAUACCGGAUAAUCUUUUUCAACUCAUGUUGAAAAACUGAAAGUCGGUUUCGGCUGACACUUACAGAUGGGCCCGCGGCGCAUUAGCUAGUUGGUGAGGUAACGGCUCACCAAGGCGACGAUGCGUAGCCGACCUGAGAGGGUGAUCGGCCACACUGGGACUGAGACACGGCCCAGACUCCUACGGGAGGCAGCAGUAGGGAAUCUUCCACAAUGGACGAAAGUCUGAUGGAGCAACGCCGCGUGAACGAUGAAGGCCUUCGGGUCGUAAAGUUCUGUUGUUAGGGAAGAACAAGUAUCGGAGUAACUGCUGAUACCUUGACGGUACCUAACCAGAAAGCCACGGCUAACUACGUGCCAGCAGCCGCGGUAAUACGUAGGUGGCAAGCGUUGUCCGGAAUUAUUGGGCGUAAAGCGCGCGCAGGCGGUCCUUUAAGUCUGAUGUGAAAGCCCACGGCUCAACCGUGGAGGGUCAUUGGAAACUGGGGGACUUGAGUGCAGAAGAGGAAAGCGGAAUUCCACGUGUAGCGGUGAAAUGCGUAGAGAUGUGGAGGAACACCAGUGGCGAAGGCGGCUUUCUGGUCUGUAACU
Molecule: ribosomal RNA, 749 nt
Filed under: uncultured bacterium
Lineage: Bacteria
Description: bacterial SSU rRNA
Rfam family: Bacterial small subunit ribosomal RNA
Source: RNAcentral